AGAAAGAGAUAUCUUCUCAUUUCUUAGAAAAACAAUUACAGAGAGUAUACAGCUAUAUAAAGUAAAAGAGCAACAAGAAUAUUCUCUAGAUUCCUAAGCUAUAGUCCAAAAGAGGAAAAAGCAAAAGUAAAAGGUAAAGCUACUUUUCUCCUUCUCUCCAACGGUCACAAGGAGAUCAUAUCCAGCCUGGCUCCUUCCUCUCUUAUCUUUAAACGUUAACAAGAGAAUGAACAUAAGAGAAGAAGGCUCC
RNAcentral lists this long non-coding RNA (250 nucleotides) under Eutrema salsugineum. Its description in RNAcentral is "long non-coding RNA (ESAL_LNC000789)". Lineage: Eukaryota; Viridiplantae; Streptophyta; Magnoliopsida; Brassicales; Brassicaceae. The record is from RNAcentral.